GUAACUGCGAGUGAAGCGGCAUAAGCUCAAAUUUGAAAUCUGGCGUCUUUGGCGUCCGAGUUGUAAUUUGGAGGGGCAUCUUCGGGGAGGACGCAGGUCUAAGUUCCUUGGAACAGGACGUCAUAGAGGGUGAGAAUCCCGUCAUUGGCUUGCUGCUCCUCUCCAUGUGAAGUGCCUCCGACGAGUCGAGUUGUUUGGGAAUGCAGCUCAAAAUGGGUGGUAAACUUCAUCUAAAGCUAAAUACUGGCGAGAGACCGAUAGCGCACAAGUAGAGUGAUCGAAAGAUGAAAAGCACUUUGAAAAGAGAGUUAAAAAGUACGUGAAAUUGUUGAAAGGGAAGCGCUUGAGACCAGACUCAGCGGGAGGUGAUCAGCGGUGCUUCUGUGCCGUGCACUCGCCUUCUGUUGGGCCAGCAUCGGUUUCGGUGGCGGGAUAAAGGCCAGGGGAACGUGGCUCCUCUCGGGGAGUGUUAUAGCCCCUGGUGCAAUGUCGCCUACCGGGACCGAGGACCGCGCUUCGGCUAGGAUGCUGGCGUAAUGGUCUUAAGCGACCCGUCUUGAAACACGGACCAAGGAGUCUAACAUCUAUGCGAGUGUUCGGGUGGAAAACCCUUGCGCGUAAUGAAAGUGAACGGAGGUGGGAACCCGCAAGGGUGCACCAUCGACCGAUCCUGAUGUCUUCGGAUGGAUUUGAGUAGGAGCAUAGCUGUUGGGACCCGAAAGAUGGUGAACUAUGCCUGAAUAGGGUGAAGCCAGAGGAAACUCUGGUGGAGGCUCGCAGCGGUUCUGACGUGCAAAUCGAUCGUCAAAUUUGGGUAUAGGGG
Molecule: ribosomal RNA, 823 nt
Filed under: Strobiloscypha keliae
Lineage: Eukaryota; Fungi; Ascomycota; Pezizomycetes; Pezizales; Sarcosomataceae
Description: eukaryotic LSU rRNA
Rfam family: Eukaryotic large subunit ribosomal RNA
Source: RNAcentral